UACGUAGGGCGCAAGCGUUGUCCGGAAUUAUUGGGCGUAAAGAGCUCGUAGGCGGUUUGUCGCGUCUGUCGUGAAAGCUUGGGGCUUAACCCCAAGUCUGCGGUGGAUACGGGCAGACUAGAGGCAGGUAGGGGAGAACGGAAUUCCCGGUGUAGAGGAGAAAUUCGUAGAUAUCGGGAGGAACACCGGCGGCGAAAGCGGCCUUCUGGACGAGGACUGACGCUGAGAUGCGAAAGCGUGGGGAGCAAACAGG
Molecule: ribosomal RNA, 253 nt
Filed under: uncultured bacterium
Lineage: Bacteria
Description: partial 16S ribosomal RNA
Rfam family: Bacterial small subunit ribosomal RNA
Source: RNAcentral